RNAcentral lists this unclassified non-coding RNA (267 nucleotides) under Hevea brasiliensis (rubber tree). The record is from RNAcentral. Lineage: Eukaryota; Viridiplantae; Streptophyta; Magnoliopsida; Malpighiales; Euphorbiaceae.
GUUUUUGAAAUGCUUGCUUUGUGGGACCUCUGCACUUAAGUAGAUUAGCUGCUGUAUGCAGUCACUGCCCCUAAGAAUAAACUAUUAAUCAUGGUUUCAUAAUUCUUGGAUGUGGCCUUGCCUAAUCCUUCAUGAGUAUUUUUCAGAAGAUGAGUGUUGCAGCUUCAAUUCAAAUCUAUAGAGAGCACUGUUUAUGAAGCUUACUGUUAGUCCUGUAAAUUUAUAUUAGCCAAUGAAAGGGUAGUGGUGGCAGAUUGCAAUUCAAAU